This 465-nucleotide ribosomal RNA is filed under the name uncultured bacterium. RNAcentral describes it as "partial 16S ribosomal RNA". It matches the Rfam family "Bacterial small subunit ribosomal RNA", at positions 28 to 506 of the family's 1533-position model. The record is from RNAcentral.
GACGAACGCUGGCGGCGCGCCUAACACAUGCAAGUCGAACGAGCGAGAGGAGGUUUACUUUCUCAAGCGAGUGGCGAACGGGUGAGUAACGCGUGAGGAACCUGCCUCAAAGAGGGGGACAACAGUUGGAAACGACUGCUAACACCGCAUAAGCCCACGACCCGGCAUCGGGUAGAGGGAAAAGGAGCAAUCCGCUUUGAGAUGGCCUCGCGUCCGAUUAGCUAGUUGGUGAGGUAAUGGCCCACCAAGGCGACGAUCGGUAGCCGGACUGAGAGGUUGAACGGCCACAUUGGGACUGAGACACGGCCCAGACUCCUACGGGAGGCAGCAGGGGGGAAUAUUGCACAAUGGGGGAAACCCUGAUGCAGCGACGCCGCGUGGAGGAAGAAGGUCUUCGGAUUGUAAACUCCUGUUGUUGAGGAAGAUAAUGACGGUACUCAACAAGGAAGUGACGGCUAACUACGU